UGCACCAUUGGACUCUGGACAGGUGAUC
Molecule: non-coding RNA, 28 nt
Filed under: Mus musculus (house mouse)
Lineage: Eukaryota; Metazoa; Chordata; Mammalia; Rodentia; Muridae
Source: RNAcentral